GGGGAUCUAGCUCAUCUGGAAGAGCGUCGGCGUUGCAUACCGAAGGCGGUCGGUUCGAGUCCGACGAUCUCCA
Molecule: transfer RNA, 73 nt
Filed under: Actinomycetes bacterium
Lineage: Bacteria; Bacillati; Actinomycetota; Actinomycetes
Description: Actinobacteria bacterium (soil metagenome) tRNA-Ala
Rfam family: tRNA
About the family: Transfer RNA (tRNA) molecules are approximately 80 nucleotides in length. Their secondary structure includes four short double-helical elements and three loops (D, anti-codon, and T loops).
Source: RNAcentral